Molecule: ribosomal RNA, 441 nt
Filed under: uncultured Oscillospira sp.
Lineage: Bacteria; Bacillati; Bacillota; Clostridia; Eubacteriales; Oscillospiraceae
Description: bacterial SSU rRNA
Rfam family: Bacterial small subunit ribosomal RNA
Source: RNAcentral
CCUACGGGGCAGCAGUGGGGAAUAUUGGGCAAUGGGCGCAAGCCUGACCCAGCACCGCCGCGUGCAGGAAGAAGGCUUUCGGGUUGUAAACUUCUUUUGUCAGGGACGAAACAAAUGACGGUACCUGACGAAUAAGCCACGGCUAACUACGUGCCAGCAGCCGCGGUAAUACGUAGGUGGCAAGCGUUAUCCGGAUUUACUGGGUGUAAAGGGCGUGUAGGCGGGAGUGCAAGUCAGAUGUGAAAAUUAUGGGCUCAACCCAUAACCUGCAUUUGAAACUGUACUUCUUGAGUACUGGAGAGGCAGGCGGAAUUCCGUGUGUAGCGGUGAAAUGCGUAGAUAUACGGAGGAACACCAGUGGCGAAGGCGGCCUGCUGGACAGCAACUGACGCUGAGGCGCGAAAGCGUGGGGAGCAAACAGGAUUAGAUACCCGAGUAGUC